This is a long non-coding RNA of Podarcis raffonei (Aeolian wall lizard), 990 nucleotides long. RefSeq lists it as uncharacterized. The transcript is spliced from 2 exons. The record is from RefSeq and is a predicted model, not a curated record. Lineage: Eukaryota; Metazoa; Chordata; Lepidosauria; Squamata; Lacertidae.
AGUUCGAGUGAUGGACACCAGGGAUCCUAAUCCAAGCCUCCAGCAUGGCUCCUGAUGACACCCACCCACUCCCUGCACAUCACCAGUACAUCUGAUGGAGGUUUUGGCAAAGUCUUCUCCUUUACAGAAGUUGGAAAGGACUUUGGAGGUCAUCUCUAACCCACUCCCUGCUCAAUGUAGCUACAACAUCCCUGACAAAUGGGUCUCUGCUUCAAUGCUUUCAGCAAGUCCUGACAGUCUGUUUCAUUGCCAAGCAGCUUUUACUGUUAGGAAGUUUAUCCCAAUGCUUCACAGAAAUCUGCUUUCAUGCAGUUUCUACCCACUGGUUUCAGUGUUGGCCCCUGGAGCAGCAGAAAAGUAGUCUCAAUCUUCUGCAUGGCAGCCCUCUGCUGGCACCAAAAUGUAGGCAAAGCAUCUUCCCACUAUUUCAGAGCAAGAAGUACCGCCGAGUGAGCAGCAACUGAAUUGGGUGAAGGGAGGGCUCCAUCUGUGGCUGCUGUCCCAGGGGAUGAGAGGAAAGAAAGCCUUUGCGUUCACCUACUUCAUGUGGGAGUGAAGGGACAAAAGGACAAAGGCAAUCAGUGCAAUAAAAUGUGACUCACUGAAGAUUUUUGUACUAGUGGGCUUUGUCCUUUUGUUUUUCUGUUGUGUGGUACAAUCUUCUAGCUUUAUGUGGAAGUGGGUCAGUGAAGUCAAUGUCGGUCGCCCUUCAGUCCUACUCCAUUCAAAAGACUGUCCAUUCUAAAAAAUAGUUGCUAACCAGAGGACAAGGGUCUAUAAAAACAUGCUUCAAGAUCUUGUUAGCCCCAUUACUUUGUGUCUUAUUAAAGAGCAUUUUAUUUCCUUGCCAUGUCUUGUAAAAGUGGUGUAGGAAAAGGUUGUGCCUUCUAGCAUGAAGACAUGUAGGGUAACUAUUUGAGGCUGGACCUCUUUUAUGUGGAACUUAUUAUGUAACCAAUUAAAGGAUAAUACUAUGGACUACUGACUUAA